RNAcentral lists this ribosomal RNA (553 nucleotides) under uncultured bacterium. RNAcentral's name for it is "bacterial SSU rRNA". It matches the Rfam family "Bacterial small subunit ribosomal RNA", at positions 243 to 811 of the family's 1533-position model. The record is from RNAcentral.
AGCUAGUUGGUAAGGUAACGGCUUACCAAGGCGAUGACGGGUAGGGGACCUGAGAGGGUGAUCCCCCACAAUGGAACUGAAACACGGUCCAUACACCUACGGGUGCCAGCAGUAGGGAAUAUUGCUUAAUGGGCGCAAGCCUGAAGCAGUAACGCCGCGUGUGCGAUGACGGCCUUCGGGUUGUAAUAGCACUUUUGAUCGGGACGAGGAAGGACGGUACCGGUCGAAUAAGCCUCGGCUAACUACGUGCCAGCAGCCGCGGUAAAACGUAGGAGGCGAGCGUUAUCCGGAUUUACUGGGUGUAAAGCGCGUGCAGGCGGUUUGUUAAGUUGGGUGUAAAAGCUCCUGGCUCAACUGGGAGAGGUCGCUCAAGACUGGCAGACUGGAGCAUGGUAGAGGAAGGUGGAAUUCCGGGAGUAGUGGUGAAAUGCGUAGAUAUCCGGAGGAACACCAGUGGCGAAAGCGGCCUUCUGGACCAUGACUGACGCUCAGACGCGAAAGCCAGGGGAGCAAACGGGAUUAGAGACCCCGGUAGUCCUGGCUGUAAACGAUG